This 63-nucleotide transfer RNA is filed under the name Curculionoidea sp. 11 KM-2017. RNAcentral describes it as "tRNA-Cys". Lineage: Eukaryota; Metazoa; Arthropoda; Insecta; Coleoptera. The record is from RNAcentral.
GGUUUUAUAGUCAAUUAUGAUUUUAAAUUGCAAAUUUAAAGGUAAUUUUUUAAUUUUUAGCCU